RNAcentral lists this ribosomal RNA (513 nucleotides) under uncultured bacterium. RNAcentral's name for it is "partial 16S ribosomal RNA". It matches the Rfam family "Bacterial small subunit ribosomal RNA", at positions 28 to 523 of the family's 1533-position model. The record is from RNAcentral.
GAUGAACGCUGGCGGCAUGCCUAAUACAUGCAAGUCGAGCGAACAGAUGAAGUGCUUGCACUUCUGACGUUAGCGGCGAACGGGUGAGUAACACGUAAGGAAUCUACCUAUAAGCGGGGGAUAACAUUCGGAAACGGGUGCUAAUACCGCAUAAUAUCUUCUUCCGCAUGGAAGAAGAUUGAAAGACGGCUCUGCUGUCACUUACAGAUGACCUUGCGGUGCAUUAGUUAGUUGGUGGGGUAACGGCCUACCAAGACGAUGAUGCAUAGCCGACCUGAGAGGGUGAUCGGCCACAUUGGGACUGAGACACGGCCCAAACUCCUACGGGAGGCAGCAGUAGGGAAUCUUCCGCAAUGGGCGAAAGCCUGACGGAGCAAUGCCGCGUGAGUGAAGAAGGCCUUCGGGUCGUAAAACUCUGUUAUAAGAGAAGAACAAAUUGUAGAGUAACUGCUACAGUCUUGACGGUAUCUUAUCAGAAAGCCACGGCUAACUACGUGCCAGCAGCCGCGGUAA